Long non-coding RNA from Neltuma alba, 607 nucleotides. RefSeq lists it as uncharacterized. The transcript has 4 exons. The record is from RefSeq and is a predicted model, not a curated record. Lineage: Eukaryota; Viridiplantae; Streptophyta; Magnoliopsida; Fabales; Fabaceae.
AAAUCAUACUUGCAGUUACUAUCCCUCCCACUGUAUCCCUCUCCCUCUUCGCCUCUUUUCCAAUCCGUUUUUGUCUUUCAAGAUCCUCCAAAAUGUUCUGACCUCAUCGUCUUCAUCAUCAUGGGUGAGAGGGACAAAUUGACGAAACCAGAGGAUGCGACCAGAUCUGAGAGGAAAGAGAGGUUGAUUCUUCUUCUUCAACAUUCAGUGGUAAGAGUUGAAAGGAGAGUCGUUUUCUCCUGCAAGAAAAAUGCCAGCCUAAGGGAUAUAUGAUUCUCAUUUGCUUUCUGUGAGAUGUUUGAAAUCCUUGGCCAACAAUAUCGUCAAGGACCAACACUUUGCAGCUCGAGAUUUCCAUGAAGCAUUAUAAAUUGAGAAACCUGUCAGGUAUUUUGUUCUCAAUUGGUUGGCUAAUAUGAUUUGGUACUUGCAAACGUGUUAAAUUGAGAUUGGUACAACAAAUAUUGCAUUUUUUGUUCUUUGAAGAGCUGUGGGUGCAGAUCAAAGUGGAAGAGAGUGGCCAAAGUCGGUGAUCUCAUCAACUUUGAAGCAGAAUUCCAGUAGAAACUUGCUUUUUAUUAAAAAGCAAAAUUCCAAUAUGACAAAA